GCUGCCGUAGUUCAACGGAUAGAACGGGAGUUUCCUAAACUCUAAAUGGAGGUUCAAUUCCUCCCGGUGGCA
Molecule: transfer RNA, 72 nt
Filed under: Minisyncoccota bacterium
Lineage: Bacteria; Bacillati; Minisyncoccota
Also listed under: 1 other name
Description: tRNA-Arg
Rfam family: tRNA
About the family: Transfer RNA (tRNA) molecules are approximately 80 nucleotides in length. Their secondary structure includes four short double-helical elements and three loops (D, anti-codon, and T loops). Further hydrogen bonds mediate the characteristic L-shaped molecular structure. tRNAs have two regions of fundamental functional importance: the anti-codon, which is responsible for specific mRNA codon recognition, and the 3' end, to which the tRNAs corresponding amino acid is attached (by aminoacyl-tRNA synthetases). tRNAs cope with the degeneracy of the genetic code in two manners: having more than one tRNA (with a specific anti-codon) for a particular amino acid; and 'wobble' base-pairing, i.e. permitting non-standard base-pairing at the 3rd anti-codon position.
Source: RNAcentral